CUUCGGGUUAUAUGGUCAAGUGAAUAAGCGUGCACGGUGGAUGCCUUGGCAGUCAGAGGCGAUGAAG
Molecule: ribosomal RNA, 67 nt
Filed under: uncultured bacterium
Lineage: Bacteria
Description: partial 23S ribosomal RNA
Source: RNAcentral